GGCUCAUGCUUAUUAGACACACACGAGGUCUCAACUGUGGCAGCUUGGAAAUAGCUUAUGAACUCAAGGUGACAGUUUUCUUUGGUCUUGAACUGGGCCUUCUUGUACAGUGCCUAGGAGUGACUUCUGCAUAGCAUCCGGGGCCUGUGUGGGAUUUUGAUUGACAUGUGCAGCUGCCUCAUCCACCUUCAGUCAUAGCACCAUUGGACACAUUGGGUUCCAGACUAUCCUGCAAGGAUCAUGCCCUCCUGGGAAGCAGGUGGCUGUUGAGCUUGGUGAUCUUUCCCAAGGAUGGGGCAGAGGGGUUUCACCCUGGAGCACCAGGAGUACCAGCUGUGAUGAGCUGUGCUGUGCCAGGUCUGUCUCCAUUUGGCAUUUGAUGGGAACCACGGGCUUUGGAACAUUCUGCUUCUACCUGGACUCAGUUGUGUGUUGGCUCCAGAACUUAAUCUUCUUCCCAACUUGACCGUGAACUUCCCAAGGGCAGGUGAGAGCUUGUGUGACACUCAUCACCAGCAGUCAGCACUGGGGAGGAGUUAGGACCAGUCAGCUCUUCUGAACCUAGUUCUGGCCUUGGUGUCACUCGUGACAGUGCCCCUCCCACACUCAUCCAUGUGAGCAGCUUGCACCAUUCUCUUCCUCCCUCUCCUUCCUUUGUCAGGAUACGCUUACCCAUCCCUUGGGAAGACUGAGGACAUCUCUGGGGCCCAUCUCCAUCUCCCUGAUGUGUUAUGAAUUAUCUUCAGGACUCUAUGGCAACAACAAAACAGCUGUGCUUGGAAGGUGGCUGAGCUGCAUACCUCCGAGCAACGGGCCCCUUCGAUAUGUGCUUUGCAGUCAUCUCCAGCCCUGGCAGUGGGAUGAUGUAUUAUUCAGGCCAGAAUCACCCAAGGGGCAUACUCUCUGGUUCUAACUCACUCUAAUUCUGGGAUGCAGCUCCAGCCUGGGCCCUGCUGCAGCAUUGGUAAUCACUUGGAGUUACAGAUUUGGCUCCAGCAAAUUUGGUUAAGACUUGUCCAAGGUGACUGUAUUGUAUCUGUAAACUAGAGGACUUCAAGUCUGUGUGCCCAGGAACAUGGCAUGCUUAGAUGGUUCUAGGAAAUAAGCCAGUCAUGUAUAUACUCCACAGAGGCUUAAGCCCUUGUAAAAGUAGGGGAAUACAGACCUUGGGUUAAGAUGGUGGACUGCUCACAAGCAUCUCCAUUUGUCCUUCAGCUUGGAUCAGGAACACCCUUAGGGGCCACGUGUUAAAGCCUUGAGCUCUAGAUAGGCAUUACCAGGAGGAAGCAGAAGCUUGAAGAAGUGAAGCCUGCUCACUCUGUAAAGUAUUACUUGUAUGAAUGUUUCCACUGCUGACCAUUUGGUAUUAGAUAACCAAUUGGUGUGCUCUUCCCUGGAGGAGACAUUUUUCCACCAAGCAUUCCUUGGUUCUCUGCAUGUUAUACUACAUGCAUAUUUAUGUAAUUAUAAAUUAUAUUAUAAAUAUAAAAUCAAUCAAUGAAAAAGGGGGAUAUAUGAGAAUGUUUGGAGGGUAGAAAGGGAAGGAAGAAAUGGUAUAAUGAUAUUAAUGUUUCAGAAAAUAAAAAGAAAGACUUUUUAAAACUCUCGCUGGGCAGUGGUGUCGCACACCUUUAAUCCCAGCACUCGGGAGGCAGAAGCAAAUGGAUCUCUGUGAG
Molecule: long non-coding RNA, 1676 nt
Filed under: Cricetulus griseus (Chinese hamster)
Lineage: Eukaryota; Metazoa; Chordata; Mammalia; Rodentia; Cricetidae
Description: lncRNA (ENSCGRG00015033422.1)
Source: RNAcentral